Molecule: long non-coding RNA, 128 nt
Organism: Coccinella septempunctata (seven-spotted ladybird)
Lineage: Eukaryota; Metazoa; Arthropoda; Insecta; Coleoptera; Coccinellidae
Exons: 2
Source: RefSeq, a predicted model, not a curated record
UAAUUCUAGAAAUCUGUUCCGGAGAGGGUUUAAAGCUCCAAUUAGAUCUUUUUCCCUGAGGAUUUAUUUCGACCAUGAAGAGUGCACUAGGGCUAGUGUAGAAUGUUCCAUCAAUCAAAAUUAAUGAA